This 537-nucleotide long non-coding RNA is filed under the name Cricetulus griseus (Chinese hamster). Its description in RNAcentral is "lncRNA (ENSCGRG00015042736.1)". The record is from RNAcentral. Lineage: Eukaryota; Metazoa; Chordata; Mammalia; Rodentia; Cricetidae.
UUCUGAUUGGUUCCUUGCCACAUGGAGGGUGUCUGACUUCCUAGUGACCAGGAGGUUGGGCAAGAUCAGGAAGCUCAGACACAUUUUGCUGUGUCAGAGGACUACAUCUUGCUUGGUCUGUCAUGGCUACCAAAGCAGGGUACUGGGCAUGAUAAUGGCUUGACCAUGGCCAGUUGUAACCUCACAGAAAUGCUGUUUUUAUAACUGAGGCACCUAUCAAUCUCACUAUGUAGCUCUGGUUGUCUUUGAGCUUUCUGGAUAGCCCAAGCUAACUCUGAGCUCAUGAUUCUUCUGCUUCAGGCCUUCUUCCUGUGUGGGAGGCAUUUUCUGCCUAGGAAACCAGCUGUGGUGAUUUGAAGGAGAAUGGUCCCCGUAGGCUAAUAUCUGAGUCUUUGGUACCCAGUUAGCAGAACUGUUUGACAAAGAUUAGGAGGUAUGGCCUCACUGAAGGAGACGUGACAUUGUUAGAAGAAAUGUGCACUGGGGCUGGGCUUUGAAGUUUCAAAAGCCCAUGCCAUGCUCUUUCUCUCUCUCUCU